GAUGAACGCUAGCGGCAGGCUUAACACAUGCAAGUCGAGGGGUAUAGCAGCAAUGCUAGAGACCGGCGCACGGGUGCGUAACGCGUAUGCAAUCUGCCUUUUACAGGGGAAUAGCCCAGAGAAAUUUGGAUUAAUGCCCCAUAGUAUUAUAGAAUGGCAUCAUUUUAUAAUUAAAGUCACAACGGUAAAGAUGAGCAUGCGUCCCAUUAGUUAGNGGUAAGGUAACGGCUUACCAAGACGAUGAUGGGUAGGGGUCCUGAGA
RNAcentral lists this ribosomal RNA (262 nucleotides) under uncultured bacterium. Its description in RNAcentral is "partial 16S ribosomal RNA". It matches the Rfam family "Bacterial small subunit ribosomal RNA", at positions 28 to 297 of the family's 1533-position model. The record is from RNAcentral.